AAACAUGUCUUUUUGAAUAUAAUUUAAAGUCAAAUCUGCUCUAUGAAUUAUUUUAAAUGGCUGCGGUAAUUUGACCGUACUAAGGUAGCAUAAUCAAUAGUUUCUUAAUUAGAAGCUGGAAUGAAUGAUUAAAUGAAAUAUUUAUUGUCUCAAUAUUAAUAAUUUUAAAAUUUUUUUAUUAGUUAAAAAACUAAUAUAAAUUUAAAGGACGAGAAGACCCUAUAGAUUUUUAUAAUAAUAUUAUUAAUUUAUUGUUAAAUAAAUAUUUUAUUAAGUAUCUUAUUAUUAAGUUGGGGAAAUUUUUAAAUUUUUUAAAUUUUAAAUUUAUAAUUACAAUAAUUAUUGAAUAAUUGAUUAUAAUUUAUAUAAUAAUAGAAUAAAUUACCUUAGGGAUAACAGCGUUAUUUUUUUUGAAAGUUCAUAUAGAUAAAAAAGUUUGCGACCUCGAUGUUGAAUUAAGAUAAAAUUUUAAUGAAGGAGUUAAAAAUUUUUGGUUUGUUCAACCAUUAAAAUCUUACGUGAUCUGAGUUCAGACC
This 536-nucleotide ribosomal RNA is filed under the name Paraphylax sp. BFS-2018. Its description in RNAcentral is "partial 16S large subunit ribosomal RNA". The stretch from base 392 to 536 matches the Rfam family "Bacterial large subunit ribosomal RNA", at positions 2473 to 2617 of the family's 2925-position model. Lineage: Eukaryota; Metazoa; Arthropoda; Insecta; Hymenoptera; Ichneumonidae. The record is from RNAcentral.